GAUGAACGCUAGCUACAGGCUUAACACAUGCAAGUCGAGGGACCGGCGCACGGGUGAGUAACACGUAUCCAACCUGCCCUUUACUCGGGGAUAGCCUUUCGAAAGAAAGAUUAAUACCCGAUAUAAAGGAUGGGGAUGCGUUCCAUUAGGUUGUUGGUGAGGUAACGGCCCACCAAGCCUUCGAUGGAUGGGGGUUCUGAGAGGAAGGCACCCCAGAUUGGAACUGAGACACGGUCCAAAAUCCUACGGGAGGGAGCAGUGAGGAAUAUUUGGCAAGGGGCGUUAGCCUGAACCAGCCAAGUAGCGUGAAGGAUGAAGGCUUAUGGGUCGUAAACUUCUGUUAUAUAAGAAUAUGUAUUAUAUGAAUAAGGAUCGGCUAACUCCGUGCCAGCAGCCGCGGUAAUUC
This 406-nucleotide ribosomal RNA is filed under the name uncultured bacterium. RNAcentral's name for it is "partial 16S ribosomal RNA". It matches the Rfam family "Bacterial small subunit ribosomal RNA", at positions 28 to 526 of the family's 1533-position model. The record is from RNAcentral.